Molecule: ribosomal RNA, 239 nt
Filed under: Enterobacter hormaechei subsp. xiangfangensis
Lineage: Bacteria; Pseudomonadati; Pseudomonadota; Gammaproteobacteria; Enterobacterales; Enterobacteriaceae
Description: partial 23S ribosomal RNA
Rfam family: Bacterial large subunit ribosomal RNA
Source: RNAcentral
UGAACCUUUACUAUAGCUUGACACUGAACACUGGUCCUUGAUGUGUAGGAUAGGUGGGAGGCUUUGAAGCGUGGACGCCAGUCUGCGUGGAGCCGCCCUUGAAAUACCACCCUUUAAUGGCUGGUGUUCUAACGUAGACCCGUAAUCCGGGUUGCGGACAGUGUCUGGUGGGUAGUUUGACUGGGGCGGUCUCCUCCCAAAGAGUAACGGAGGAGCACGAAGGUUGGCUAAUCCUGGUC